ACGAACGCUGGCGGCGUGCUUAACACAUGCAAGUCGAACGGUGAAGCGCCUUCCUUUUUGGUGGGUGUGGAUGAGUGGCGAACGGGUGAGUAACACGUGAGUAACCUGCCCCCUUCUUCUGGAUAACCGCAUGAAAGUGUGGCUAAUACGGGAUAUUCUGGGUCUGUCGCAUGAUGGGUCUGGGAAAGAUAUUGUUUCGGUGGGGGAUGGGCUCGCGGCCUAUCAGCUUGUUGGUGGGGUGAUGGCCUACCAAGGCGGUGACGGGUAGCCGGCCUGAGAGGGUGGACGGUCACACUGGGGCUGAGACACGGCCCAGACUCCUACGGGAGGCAGCAGUGGGGAAUAUUGCACAAUGGGCGCAAGCCUGAUGCAGCGACGCCGCGUGAGGGAUGGAGGCCUUCGGGUUGUGAACCUCUUUCGCCAGUGAAGCAGGCCUGCCUCGUUUGUGGGUGGGUUGACGGUAGCUGGAUAAGAAGCGCCGGCUAACUACGUG
RNAcentral lists this ribosomal RNA (493 nucleotides) under uncultured bacterium. RNAcentral's name for it is "partial 16S ribosomal RNA". It matches the Rfam family "Bacterial small subunit ribosomal RNA", at positions 29 to 507 of the family's 1533-position model. The record is from RNAcentral.